This 839-nucleotide ribosomal RNA is filed under the name uncultured bacterium. RNAcentral's name for it is "bacterial SSU rRNA". It matches the Rfam family "Bacterial small subunit ribosomal RNA", at positions 672 to 1533 of the family's 1533-position model. The record is from RNAcentral.
GGUGUAGCGGUGAAAUGCUUAGAUAUCACACAGAACACCGAUUGCGAAGGCAGCACACUAAGUCAUUAUUGACGCUGAGGCACGAAAGUGUGGGGAUCAAACAGGAUUAGAUACCCUGGUAGUCCACACUGUAAACGAUGAUAACUCGCUGUCGGCGAUACACAGUCGGUGGCCAAGCGAAAGCAUUAAGUUAUCCACCUGGGGAGUACGACCGCAAGGUUGAAACUCAAAGGAAUUGACGGGGGCCCGCACAAGCGGAGGAACAUGUGGUUUAAUUCGAUGAUACGCGAGGAACCUUACCCGGGCUCGAACGGUGCAUGAAUAUACGAGAGAUUGUAUAGUCCUUCGGGACAUGUAUCGAGGUGCUGCAUGGUUGUCGUCAGCUCGUGCCGUGAGGUGUCGGCUUAAGUGCCAUAACGAGCGCAACCCUUGUCAUUAGUUGCCAUCAGGUCAAGCUGGGGACUUUAAUGAGACUGCCACCGUAAGGUGUGAGGAAGGGGGGGAUGACGUCAAAUCAGCACGGCCCUUAUGUCCGGGGCGACACACGUGUUACAAUGGGAGGUACAGAGGGCAGCUAUCCGGUGACGGAAUGCUAAUCUCCAAAACCUUUCUCAGUUCGGAUUGGAGUCUGCAACUCGACUCCAUGAAGGUGGAUUCGCUAGUAAUCGCGCAUCAGCCAUGGCGCGGUGAAUACGUUCCCGGGCCUUGUACACACCGCCCGUCAAGCCAUGGAAGCUUGGGGUGCCUGAAGUUCGUGACCGCAAGGAGCGACCUAAGGCAAAACAGGUAAACUGGGGCUAAGUCGUAACAAGGUAACCGAAAGGGCAAUUCGUANCUCG